GCGGUCCUAGCUGAGUGGUAGAGCGCGUGGCUUUUAACCGCGUGGCCGUGGGUUCGAUCCCCACGGACGGCG
Triticum urartu is the source of this 72-nucleotide non-coding RNA. Lineage: Eukaryota; Viridiplantae; Streptophyta; Magnoliopsida; Poales; Poaceae. The record is from Rfam.